Molecule: non-coding RNA, 99 nt
Filed under: Geodermatophilus saharensis
Lineage: Bacteria; Bacillati; Actinomycetota; Actinomycetes; Geodermatophilales; Geodermatophilaceae
Description: TPP sequence
Rfam family: TPP riboswitch aptamer (THI element)
About the family: Vitamin B(1) in its active form thiamin pyrophosphate (TPP) is an essential coenzyme that is synthesised by coupling of pyrimidine and thiazole moieties in bacteria.
Source: RNAcentral
CCGAGUGACUCGGGGUGUCCGCUCUGGCGAGCGGGCUGAGAACACACCCGCCGAACCUGUCCAGGUCAUGCUGGCGAAGGGAUGUCACGGCGAUGGACG